RNAcentral lists this transfer RNA (87 nucleotides) under Candidatus Aenigmatarchaeota archaeon. Its description in RNAcentral is "tRNA-Ser". It matches the Rfam family "tRNA". From Rfam's summary of the family: Transfer RNA (tRNA) molecules are approximately 80 nucleotides in length. Their secondary structure includes four short double-helical elements and three loops (D, anti-codon, and T loops). Lineage: Archaea; Nanobdellati; Candidatus Aenigmatarchaeota. The record is from RNAcentral.
GCCGAGAUCGCUUAGCCCGGUAGAGCGCCAGCCUGGAAAGCUGGUUUCUUUCGAGAUGCGGGAGUUCAAAUCUCCCUCUCGGCGCCA